GCCCAGAUAGCUCAGCUGGUAGAGCAAGGGACUGAAAAUCCCUGUGUCGGUGGUUCGAACCCGCCUCUGGGCACCA
This 76-nucleotide transfer RNA is filed under the name Alphaproteobacteria bacterium 43-37. Its description in RNAcentral is "tRNA-Phe". It matches the Rfam family "tRNA". From Rfam's summary of the family: Transfer RNA (tRNA) molecules are approximately 80 nucleotides in length. Their secondary structure includes four short double-helical elements and three loops (D, anti-codon, and T loops). RNAcentral also lists the same sequence under 1 other name. The record is from RNAcentral. Lineage: Bacteria; Pseudomonadati; Pseudomonadota; Alphaproteobacteria.